CACAUUCAGCCAUCUGAUUAACUCAAUGAAAAUACAUUUGAAGCAAAAGCGAAAUGAACUAAUCACAUUUGAGUCUACACUUCCAGCAAUUGAAUGCCUUGCCGGCGUAUCCGAGCAAGUGCACAUUGGCUUGAUUAACUAUAACAGUGAACGCUGAUGAAACAACUCAAGGUUUUGGAACAAAAACUAGAUAUCAUUUUACAUUUAUAACGUAUUCGAGCAGGUGCUCAUUGGCUUGAUUAACGAUAACAGUGAAGACUGAUGAAACAACUCAAGGUUUUGGAACAAAAACUAGAUAUCAUUUUACAUCGUCCAGAGCUGAUCGGAACUGAUAUAUAUAACUGAGUGUAAAGGAUUAAUGCUCAAGAUUGAAAACGUAUUCCGUCAAGCGCUGUAAUUUACUGGAAUCCAGUUUCUGCUCUGUUGCAACAGCCUGCUUCUUCACGGUUAGCAUUUGAGAGGAGGGAUCCAAGGUCCAACCACGUUGUAGCGUAUCUGCAAGUAACCGAGAAGUGUUAGCACAAGUUAGUAGUAGCAUUCAUUUCCAUUCCACCAAUUUACCGUACAAGGGACGAGUUGCAUUCAAGCUGAUUAAAGUGCCAUUUUUCAACAGUUCCAAGUUUGGUAAGAGUUAAGGACAAUGAAAGAUCCUAUAGAAACAUUAAAAUUACUUUAAAGAUAGGGAAAUGAUAAUUAUAUACAUGGUGAGGAGUGUCAACAAUGACAUUAAAAUUCUCUCGUCAUCGGUCAGUGUCAUAAAAAUUACUUAAUCUAUUUCUUCAUCUUAACCACCCCACCAAUCCCAAAACUAGAUUAAGAGGUAGGCUUUACAUAAUUUAUCCACCCAAAAUUCUACCUGCACGGUCACUGAUUUUCAAAUUAUUUCAACCUCAAUACAAAGACAUUCCACUUGCAGAUUAAGCCAUUGUUUGAGCCUCAUUUUUUCAUCAAAAUACAUUUUUCAACAAUGAUUUGAUUUCAUUUUGACCACACAUUUUUAAUAAAAUAAUGUUACACGUAAUGUCAAAAAAAAAUUUUAUUUUUUAAAUACACAUUCUUCAUCAUAACACUAUUUCAAAAUGCAUUUGUUUGAGAAAAAUGGGGCUCAAACAACCCCUAAACAAGCAUUAACCUUUAAAUUUGCACAAAUGUUAUAAGCCAUGUGAAAAAGGAUGAGAGGUUACAGUUUGCAGCAUCAUCAGCAUUCAGUCCGAGGAAAAGAGCUGUAUCUUGUGUGCUUAUUGUAGAAUAAGCAGAAACCAGCAGCUCAAACAUCUUUUUUGUGUAAAGUUCUGCAGAAAACUCGAAUUACAAAAUAAAAUCAAAAUCAGAUGCCCAGGAUCGCUAGUCAAACAGCACAAAAAAUAAUAUGGGCACUCCUUUGGCAUUCAAAUAAUCAAUAUUUUUGGGUGCUGGAGGAAUCAACACACAUAGUAACACGCAAUAUUGUGUACUCGUGUAACUCGUCUACAGGAAAAUUCUCAAAAUUCAUUUUCAGUUAAUUUACUAGAAGAAUCUAUUACCGAAGAAACGUGUUCAUUUCUUAUCCAUUUGCAGAAUCUGUAUAACCCUUUUAUUUUUCAUAAAGGUUUGAGAAUAAAUAUCCCUGCAUGCAUAGGUAUAGUUCAGAGAGUUUCUUGAAACUCUUAUUUGUCAUUUUUAUAUUAUUACAUCCCAUCUUGCAAAUUUUGGGCUUGUCACAAAUUUGGACACCUGUUUUCUAACAAAAUAUUAUUUUCCUUUACUUCGACUAGUGGGAUUCAUGUCACGUAUGCUGUUGGACAACACUUUUAACGAUUCUAAUUUCACUUUCUUCCUUAAAGGCUACUCUAAUAAAAAAAAAAUAUGUACUGGGAUAUUUCUUCGUAAUGUCCUAAACAACUAUUCUAUUUUAUGUACAGUUACAGUUCUUGGUAAUAAUGUGUUUGUAACAACCAGUCCAGUCGUUUUCUAUUUAUUUGGACCAUUCCACUUUUGUUCGUCUGUUGGGUCACAAUUGCAUCAUAUUCUUUCCGAGUCCCUAGAAAGAAGGGUCACAUCUUCACAUUAGCAAUCCUGCAGGUAUAAAAUUAGAACGCAGCUUCUGUUAUUGACAAUAUGGUUAUCGUCGUCACUGCAGAAACUGGUCAUUCCAACACAUUCAGCCAACCGAUUAACUGAAUGAAAAUACAUUUGAAGCAAAAGCGAAAUGAACUAAUCGCAUUUGAGUCUACACUUCCAGCAAUUGAAUGCCUUGCCGGCGUAUCUGAGCAAGUGCACAUUGGCUUGAUUAACUAUAACAGUGAACGCUGAUGAAACAACUCAAGGUUUUGGAACAAAAACUAGAUAUCAUUUUACAUUUAUAACGUAUUCGAGCAGGUGCUCAUUGGCUUGAUUAACGAUAACAGUGAAGACUGAUGAAACAACUCAAGGUUUUGGAACAAAAACUAGAUAUCAUUUUACAUCGUCCAGAGCUGAUCGGAACUGAUAUAUAUAACUGAGUGUAAAGGAUUAAUGCUCAAGAUUGAAAACGUAUUCCGUCAAGCGCUGUAAUUUACUGGAAUCCAGUUUCUGCUCUG
This 2558-nucleotide long non-coding RNA is filed under the name Olea europaea (common olive). Its description in RNAcentral is "long non-coding RNA (OEUR_LNC013957)". Lineage: Eukaryota; Viridiplantae; Streptophyta; Magnoliopsida; Lamiales; Oleaceae. The record is from RNAcentral.